UACUAUGUAUCUAGUAAUUGGAAUAGAGUAACUAAUUUAAAUCCCUUAACAAGUAACAAUUAGAGGGCAAGUCUGGUGCCAGCAGCCGCGGUAAUCCAGCUCUAAUAGCGUAUAUUAAUAUUGUUGCAAGUUAAAAAGCUCGUAGUUGAAAUUUGGAACUUUAUUGUAUUGGUUUAUCUUAUGAUGAACUGUAUAAUGGGUUUCUUCCUACUAGAGUUCGAUUCUGUUCUUAAUUGAAUGGAGUAGCUAUCUUUCGGGGUGGUCGAUUGGUUGUUAUAUCUCCACUAAUAAGCAGAGAGGGGUAAAACUCUCAAAGUAAGUUAUGUGGGUCAAGGUAUGGCGAUUAAUUGGAGUUCUAGUUCAUUUACUUUGAGAAAAUUAGAGUGUUUAAAGCAGCCUCUUGGGGCACUGAAUACAUUAGCAUGGGAUAAUAAAAUAGGAUCUUCACAAUAUAUUUU
RNAcentral lists this ribosomal RNA (458 nucleotides) under uncultured eukaryote. RNAcentral's name for it is "partial 18S ribosomal RNA". It matches the Rfam family "Eukaryotic small subunit ribosomal RNA", at positions 491 to 844 of the family's 1831-position model. The record is from RNAcentral.